GACGUAGGGCGCGAGCGUUGUCCGGAUUUAUUGGGCGUAAAGAGCUCGUAGGCGGCUUGUCGCGUCGUCCGUGAAAACCCACAGCUCAACCCUGGGAUGCCGGUCGAUACUGCCGGACUAGAGUUCGGAAGAGGCGAGUGGAAUUCCCGGUGUAGCGGUGAAAUGCGCAGAUAUCGGGAGGAACACCAAUGGCGAAGGCAGCUCGCUGGGACGUUACUGACGCUGAGACGCGAAAGCGUGGGGAGCAAACAGG
Molecule: ribosomal RNA, 253 nt
Filed under: uncultured bacterium
Lineage: Bacteria
Description: partial 16S ribosomal RNA
Rfam family: Bacterial small subunit ribosomal RNA
Source: RNAcentral